UUGGACGAUCCGAACGAACGUCGAGAUAUUGAUGAAUUUUUCCGAAUAUGCUUUUUUAAACGAUGGAUAUGUAUCACUCUCAAAAUCCAAGCAAGGAAAGUGAUGAUCCUUUCAAGAAACAAGUUGAAGAAUAAAAUUCCACCUGUGUUAUAAAAAAGAUAAUGAGAAAAAUUAUAGAUAAAUGUGCGUAAUAACAUUUAUCUUUAAUGGUUAAACUAUUGUAUUACCGGAACAACCAAGAAAGCCAUACAGAACAGCAACUACCUUACCCGCCCUCGUUUGCGGUGUGGUAUUUCCAUAUCCUGAUAAACAAAUUAAUAAUAACAUCCAUAAUUUAUUUCGAAACUGAAAUGAAUAUAUACAAACGUAAUACAAAGUACCAUUUACACAGUACUGAAGAGGAUAACUACAAGACUAGGUCGCAAGAUAUUAACAUUCUGGAAUUUACCGGCACAUUCUUAUAUGUGCUGCGAACGACGACCCUUACCCCUUUAUUCAAUGCUUUUAUGACCAAGUUAUAACGCGAUAAUACAGUCGUCAAUAAAUUGACUUUUAAGUGAAUAGUUGGAAAAUAAUCAAACGUGCAAACAAAAUAUUUAGGGCGAAUAUGGUAAAUUAUUUCGUAAUUACUGAUACACUCGUGUCUACAGUCUUUCGAAAAAGAAUACAAAUGGAAGAAAUGUAUAACUGAGAUAAAGACCAGCAAACUAUGGUACCCACGAAGUGAAAGCUGCCAAGAAAAUCCCAUCGUCGGCUCUUGUUGAUGACACCGGAGAAUGAAGCGUUUCCAUAUGCAUAUAAUAACUCAUCUAGUCUUUGGAGAGCAGUUGGACUACCUUGCAAAUGAUACUUUCGAAAACUAUGAUAAACGCGCCAAAAUUCUGCAGUCUAUAUAGUGAGCAGAAGUUUAACAUACAAGUAUUAACUUUUACUUCGAUAUUUAUUUAAAUUAAAAAAUAGUAAUAAAACAUAGCAACCCAGACUAAAAAGACAAUUUAAAACGUAGAUAAAAAAGAACAACCAAAAGAUAAAAAAUGGUUUCAUACCUGUUGCACUUCAAGAUCAGCUUCUAGUUGUUGAAAGAUUGCAGCGCCAGUUAACAUGUACACUGUCAGGGCGGCGAAAUGAAGGAUGAAUCUUGCGUUAUCCUCUCCGAGGCCACCGGGGAGACACAUCACCGACAAUUCUCAUCUCUCCAGAUACAAGAGACUGGUUGCAAUCCCCACUUUUGCCUUUCAUCUGGGUUGGCGCAAACUCAGCGACGAACAUCCACGAAAAUCCGCAGAUGCAUUGUCAACGAACAUUAUCAAGAUACAUCAUUUAAAAUCUAUCGCAACUCAGAAUUUUAUGAUUCUUCAAAGUAUAUUUUUAAUUCAAUUACUUCUUUGUAUUUAUUUUUUUAAUUACCUGUAUUUGCUUUAACACAGUGUUAGCAUUUGGCAUAUCAAAAUUUUAUUCGGAUGACAUGUUGCAAAAGUUUGGUCGUAUUAUUUGAAAGAUGUACAAUAUUGUAUGUUACGUAAUUUUACAUUGUAAAAUUGCAGGGCUACAUGAUUUAUAAAACUAUGUUGCAGAAAAUAUAAGGCAGUAGCAUAUA
This is a long non-coding RNA of Bombus pyrosoma, 1597 nucleotides long. RefSeq lists it as uncharacterized. The record is from RefSeq and is a predicted model, not a curated record. The transcript is spliced from 2 exons. NCBI's taxonomy places the organism in Eukaryota, Metazoa, Arthropoda, Insecta, Hymenoptera, Apidae.